UGCCCUAGCCGCUGGAGAGCAUGAUGCGGUCCGCCGUCUCUGCCCACUGCCCCGCCGCCUCCUUCCGGCAAGAGGUCGAUCUACCGGCCCCAGGAUCUUAUAUCUCUGAAGUAAUGCAUAAAGCUGUUUUUGGUGAGGCUGACGAUGUGCCAGUUCAUCGUGCUGAUGAACCUGAAUCUCAUAGCCAUACCUCUAUCAGGAAAAGAGAAGAACAUCCGCAAACACGAGCGUGUAGAUUGGACGAGAGAAGAACAGCUGCAAAGAUGCUCCAAGUUGUUCUCAAUCGAGCCAAGGAGGGUGUAGUUUGAACCAAAGGCGCAACCGUCUGGGUGUAGUCAUCAAUAAAAUGUAAAACACUGAUAUGGUAUCAUAUGUAAUACUGCUGGUGGUGGGUUUUGUUAACCAGCUCGGUGGGUUCACAGGAACCUGUCCUGUGUCUUUGCAAAGAGAUGAUAAAAGACGAUGUGAUGGUUAAUCUUUGUGUUUUAUUUU
Lolium rigidum is the source of this 492-nucleotide long non-coding RNA. RefSeq lists it as uncharacterized. Lineage: Eukaryota; Viridiplantae; Streptophyta; Magnoliopsida; Poales; Poaceae. The record is from RefSeq and is a predicted model, not a curated record. The transcript is spliced from 2 exons.